GGGGAUGUGGCUCAGUGGUAGAGAGCUUGCUUUCCAUGUGCAAGGCCCUGGGUUUGAUCCCCAGCAUCACGA
Molecule: transfer RNA, 72 nt
Filed under: Heterocephalus glaber (naked mole-rat)
Lineage: Eukaryota; Metazoa; Chordata; Mammalia; Rodentia; Bathyergidae
Rfam family: tRNA
About the family: Transfer RNA (tRNA) molecules are approximately 80 nucleotides in length. Their secondary structure includes four short double-helical elements and three loops (D, anti-codon, and T loops).
Source: Rfam by way of RNAcentral